GCCUUCGUGGUGUAGUGGUCAGCAUGCUCGACGCGUAACCGAGAGGUCCGUGGUUCGAUUCCCGGCAAAGGCU
This 73-nucleotide transfer RNA is filed under the name Stegodyphus mimosarum. It matches the Rfam family "tRNA". Rfam says of the family: Transfer RNA (tRNA) molecules are approximately 80 nucleotides in length. Their secondary structure includes four short double-helical elements and three loops (D, anti-codon, and T loops). Lineage: Eukaryota; Metazoa; Arthropoda; Arachnida; Araneae; Eresidae. The record is from Rfam by way of RNAcentral.